UCAAUCCUGAACUAUGAGCUACUACUUCAGACUGAACCUACACAUCUGCAGUUGCUGUGAAAAGAGCAGUUCAUUUUCUGGACACUGAGAGACUGGAUAUUCACCAGGACGAGAGGAACCAGGCUAACUGCUCCUCACUACUGACCCACAGCUUGAUAAUGAACCUAAACAUUGACAGCAUUUCCUUCGGUGGUUUCGUGUUAAAAUGAAAAUGAAGAAGAGGAAAAAGUACUGUAAGUACCUGUAUUGAAGACCUUUACAUAAUGGCAUUAUGAAACCUGACCUUUGCAAAUAAUAUUCUUAUUGUUUAUUUCAG
RNAcentral lists this long non-coding RNA (316 nucleotides) under Neogobius melanostomus (round goby). Its description in RNAcentral is "lncRNA (ENSNMLG00000021355.1)". Lineage: Eukaryota; Metazoa; Chordata; Actinopteri; Gobiiformes; Gobiidae. The record is from RNAcentral.